AAACAAUUGAAUAUGUCAAUCAAUCCUAAUUUAUAUCAUAUAUUACCAUACGCACCCGGUAUAUCGGCGUAGUACAUUACAUAGUAUAUUAGGAUAUCUACUUGAAUACAUUAUUUCUUACUUCAUAAUAAUAAGUAUUGCAAUUAUUAAGAUAAAACCAGGUAAACAAGAGUGACUUGCAAAAAAUCGAAAAUCUGUAACCUUCAGAUUAUGAGAUUAACUACUAUUAAUAUCAGUUACAGUUAAUAAUUAAUAACUGUAACUUAUUAACGAAACAUGUUACAAAAUGUAGUUAUAAAAUUUAUCUGAUUCUCUAGAAAAUUUACUGGUUAAAAUCACUAGUGUUUAGAACAUUAUUAUAGGCAAAUAUAUCUUAAAAGACAAGACUGUGUUUCGGAGGACAAAUUUAAUAGAGGACCGGAGUAGAGUCUCAUAAUACCCAUAAUAUGGAGGGCAUAAUACAUAAUAUGGAGAACCAUAGUCUCUAAGUUGGCGCAGAAUUCCAGUAAGGUUCUUCUAGACAAGAAGAGAUACAAAAGUCUUACAUACAUAAGUUUCUAACAACUACCUACGAGUUUCUUGGAAAAAACUUGCUAUUAAGUAAAUUAUAUUAUUAUUUACAAUUAUUUGCAUAAAUUAUUUAAACUAACUGUUUUAGGCGUUGCAGUAAUAACUGAAUAUCAUUAAUUAGUUUAUGUAAAUGAAUAAAAGUUUAUAAUAAACAAUUACAAUAACUUGAAAUCGCAUUCAAAAUAAUUUUAGAAUGCUUUUCUUGGGUUUACAUACAAACAGAAAAAGCCACGAGUUUUUAAUCAUAACCUCAUUUUUUAUUAAUUGUGGUACGAUUUUAGGUCACAAAUCAUAUAUGAUACAUAUUGUGCACAAAACCAGUCUUAAUAAAACAAUGUAAUUAUUUUGAAAUUUUCGUUAUUCCCAACAUGGAAGCAGUUAUUCUUUUAGUUGACGAAUAUAUUUAAAUUUUUGUAGCUCAGAUAUUUCUUUUAAUAAAAAAAUUUCUCCCUUUUUUGGCUUUUGUAAUAUUGUUUGUUAUACCUGCUAUGAAAAAAAUUUUUACUUAAUAAAUAUGCAAAAAAUAACAUAAUCAUGUACGCCUAUGUUAUGGAG
Long non-coding RNA from Sitophilus oryzae (rice weevil), 1125 nucleotides. RefSeq lists it as uncharacterized. The transcript has 4 exons. The record is from RefSeq and is a predicted model, not a curated record. Lineage: Eukaryota; Metazoa; Arthropoda; Insecta; Coleoptera; Curculionidae.